CCUACGGGGGGCUGCAGUGGGGAAUAUUGCACAAUGGGGGAAACCCUGAUGCAGCGACGCCGCGUGAGUGAAGAAGUAAUUCGUGAUGUAAAGCUCUAUCAGCAGGGAAGAAAAUGACGGUACCUGAGGAAGAAGCCCCGGCUAACGACGUGCCAGCAGCCGCGGUAAUACGUCGGGGGCAAGCGUUAUCCGGAUUUACUGGGUGGAAAGGGAGCGUAGACGGCAGUGCAAGUCUGGAGGGAAAGGCGGGGGCUCCACCCCCGGACUGCUCUGGAAACUGUACGGCUGGAGUGCAGGAGCGGUAAGUGGCAUUCCUCGUGUAGCGGUGCACUGCUUCGCUAUUAGGAG
RNAcentral lists this ribosomal RNA (348 nucleotides) under uncultured bacterium. Its description in RNAcentral is "partial 16S ribosomal RNA". It matches the Rfam family "Bacterial small subunit ribosomal RNA", at positions 338 to 703 of the family's 1533-position model. The record is from RNAcentral.